AUGCAUCUAUUUGACAGGCCUGAAGCAGUUACUGUCUGCUAAGGUUUCCACUACAGAGGCAAGAAAAAAGUGUCCUUCUGCUUUCUGUCUGUGAUUGUGGCAGCCCAGAUUGAAUGGGGGAAUACAGGG
RNAcentral lists this small nucleolar RNA (129 nucleotides) under Physeter macrocephalus (sperm whale). RNAcentral's name for it is "Physeter catodon (sperm whale) Small nucleolar RNA SNORA31 (ENSPCTG00005000518.1)". It matches the Rfam family "Small nucleolar RNA SNORA31". From Rfam's summary of the family: ACA31 (SNORA31) belongs to the H/ACA class of snoRNAs which are thought to guide the sites of modification of uridines to pseudouridines. ACA31 is predicted to guide the pseudouridylation of U3713 in 28S rRNA and U218 in 18S rRNA. This family includes the mouse homologue snoMBI-161. The record is from Rfam by way of RNAcentral. Lineage: Eukaryota; Metazoa; Chordata; Mammalia; Artiodactyla; Physeteridae.